This 465-nucleotide ribosomal RNA is filed under the name Vreelandella stevensii. RNAcentral's name for it is "partial 16S ribosomal RNA". It matches the Rfam family "Bacterial small subunit ribosomal RNA", at positions 338 to 795 of the family's 1533-position model. Lineage: Bacteria; Pseudomonadati; Pseudomonadota; Gammaproteobacteria; Oceanospirillales; Halomonadaceae. The record is from RNAcentral.
CCUACGGGAGGCAGCAGUGGGGAAUAUUGGACAAUGGGCGAAAGCCUGAUCCAGCCAUGCCGCGUGUGUGAAGAAGGCCUUCGGGUUGUAAAGCACUUUCAGUGGGGAAGAAAGCCUUGGGGCUAAUACCCUCGAGGAAGGACAUCACCCACAGAAGAAGCACCGGCUAACUCCGUGCCAGCAGCCGCGGUAAUACGGAGGGUGCGAGCGUUAAUCGGAAUUACUGGGCGUAAAGCGCGCGUAGGCGGUCUGAUAAGCCGGUUGUGAAAGCCCCGGGCUCAACCUGGGAACGGCAUCCGGAACUGUCAGGCUAGAGUGCAGGAGAGGAAGGUAGAAUUCCCGGUGGAGCGGUGAAAUGCGUAGAGAUCGGGAGGAAUACCAGUGGCGAAGGCGGCCUUCUGGACUGACACUGACGCUGAGGUGCGAAAGCGUGGGUAGCAAACAGGAUUAGAUACCCCAGUAGUC